RNAcentral lists this long non-coding RNA (1257 nucleotides) under Coturnix japonica (Japanese quail). RNAcentral describes it as "lncRNA (ENSCJPG00005007437.1)". The record is from RNAcentral. Lineage: Eukaryota; Metazoa; Chordata; Aves; Galliformes; Phasianidae.
AGUAAUUACAGAAUUCCAUGGAAGCUUCAGCAUUCUGGCAAUAGAGCUUUCAACGAAAUAUGUUUAUGAAACAGCAGUGCUUUCCUAAAAUAUACUAUUUUUGUUUUCCUUAACUCCAGUUCUAAAAACAUCUAACACAUUUUGAGGUAAAGGAACCUCCUCAAGGCUGUGUUGAAUACACAUAUUGUAUUGGGUUUACGUGGCAAGGUUUUGUGACCUUUGCAAGAACUGCCAAGCACUGUCCCACAUCAGAUCAGAGUUCCAGCUGUUCCAGUAGGGUCCUACUGCUUGCGGAGCUGAGCCAAGAGUGAUGCUAGGUGUGCUCUAGGAGAGUAGACUUAAGGAAGGGAAAAGUCUCUCUGUGGCAUUUGUGAGAGAAAGAUGAAGCUUGUGGACUGACAGCCACCCCAAUCACUAUCAUCAUGAGCCACUUGGAGAGGACAAAAGUAGAGUACUGACAAUGAAGAUGAGUCUGGAAAGAAGAGGAAUGGAGGAAUGUAGUUUUUUUAUUUUUAAUUUUUUUAUUUCUUACCUUUCUACUCUAUUAUUAAUUGACAAUAGAAUUAAUCUCCUCCAAGCUGAGUACUUUUAGUCCAUAAUGAUACUCAUCAAGUGAUUUCCUUCUCCUUUAGUCAGCCCACAAGAUUUUUCAUUAUAUUUCUCCCCCUGCCUUGCUGGGGAAGGGAAGAGAGACUGCAGCCUGAUAGGAACCUGGUAGCUAGCCAAGGCCAACUCAUCAACAUGGAAAGAAAUAUAGAAAUAGGCUCUUGAACUGUUGUGAGAAGCACAUGAUAACUAAGCUACGGAGAAAAAAAAAAAAACAACAAAAAAACAAAAAAACCCCAAAACUCUUUUUUUAAAUAGUUAAAGAAUUUAUGCACAUUAUUUAGUAAAUCUUGAAAUAUACUUUUAUUCCUUGUCUUUUCUCUCCCCUGGCAGAUGAUUAAAGUACUGGUAAAAGAGAACCAAAAGAAAAACCUUCAAAUUAAGCAUGGACUUGAAGGAAAUGAGAUUAAUUUCAAAAGGUGCUGGCAGCCAAAGCAUGAUCCAAGCAGUGUCAUAGUGACAUCCUAAAUAGGAAGACUUGCAAGAAAAAUGUAGCUAUUGGGUCAAACUGAAAAGGAAGAUUAAGAUACAGAUACUGAUAUUUUUUUUGUCUCUCAGAAAGUCAAACAUGAACCCAAACUCAAAUGUGCAUCACCUCUUUGUUAAACCUCCAUAUAAAGGUAACUGUUAAUAUGCCAGUUUGAAUUUGGG